This 485-nucleotide ribosomal RNA is filed under the name uncultured bacterium. RNAcentral's name for it is "partial 16S ribosomal RNA". It matches the Rfam family "Bacterial small subunit ribosomal RNA", at positions 30 to 506 of the family's 1533-position model. The record is from RNAcentral.
AUUGAACGCUGGCGGCAUGCCUUACACAUGCAAGUCGAACGGCAGCACGGGUGCUUGCACCUGGUGGCGAGUGGCGAACGGGUGAGUAAUACAUCGGAACAUGUCCUGUAGUGGGGGAUAGCCCGGCGAAAGCCGGAUUAAUACCGCAUACGAUCUACGGAUGAAAGCGGGGGACCUUCGGGCCUCGCGCUAUCGGGUUGGCCGAUGGCUGAUUAGCUAGUUGGUGGGGGAAAGGCCUACCAAGGCGACGAUCAGUAGCUGGUCUGAGAGGACGACCAGCCACACUGGGACUGAGACACGGCCCAGACUCCUACGGGAGGCAGCAGUGGGGAAUUUUGGACAAUGGGCGAAAGCCUGAUCCAGCAAUGCCGCGUGUGUGAAGAAGGCCUUCGGGUUGUAAAGCACUUUUGUCCGGAAAGAAAUCCUUGGCUCUAAUACAGUCGGGGGAUGACGGUACCGGAAGAAUAAGCACCGGCUAACUACGU